Molecule: RNA transcript, 3220 nt
Organism: Scylla paramamosain (green mud crab)
Lineage: Eukaryota; Metazoa; Arthropoda; Malacostraca; Decapoda; Portunidae
Gene name: endoplasmic reticulum lectin 1-like
Exons: 11
Source: RefSeq, a predicted model, not a curated record
AAGUGAAGACGGUCCUUAGAUGGUGAGUGAGUGAUGGCGAGGUAAACAAUGGAGGGGCCCAAGGGAGGCUCCUGUCGUGCCUGGCUUGCCACGGCCCGUGGAUCCCUCAGACUGCUGCUGUGUGUGGCCGCCCUUGCCCCGACAGUCCUGGCCGCCAACCAGAUCAAGGGCUUGGACGAUGCCAUCAUGUUCAGACUCAACUGGGCUGGCGGGGAUUCGGGCCUGCUGGAUUCACCCGAUUACGAGAAGCUGGUGAUGAUGAGCUCCAUGAAUGAGAGAUAUGAGUGUCUGGUGCCCAUCAAGUAUGGAGACAACAAUAACAAGCAGGAAUUCUACAAAGGUCCGAGCCCCUUAGCGCUACUGAUGCCUCUGUUCAAGCAGCAGUCCUGUAACCUGCGGCUUGACCGGUACUGGACCUAUGAGUUGUGUCAUGGCCGCUACAUCAAGCAGUACCGGGAAGAGCGGGAAGGCAAGACCACACGUCUGCUGGAGUUCACUCUGGGAAUCAUCACGGAGAAAAGUCUCGCCUCUCUCAGUGAGCAAGCAAAAACCUCAACUCAAGAGAUUCCUGUCAGUGCCAACAUUCCUACCACUAAGAUUGAGGGGCUGGACACACCGUACUUCAUGGUGAACUACACACACGGCUCCAUCUGUGACGUGACUGGCCAGCCACGGACCAGUCAUGUGCUCUUUGUGUGCUAUGAGGAGGGCCAGCACGACAUUUAUAGCAUCAAGGAGAUAUACAGUUGCGAGUAUGAGAUUGUCAUUCUCUCCCCUAUCCUCUGCCAGCAUCCUUUGUACAGGUCCCGGGAACUUCCCCAGACCUACCUGCACUGCAUUCCCAUGGAGGGCAGCCCCAAGAGACCACGCAACCUGCUGCAAAUUGAAGCUGAGAGUCUGAAGCUGCGAUCCAGUGACGCAAUACUGGCUGGUGACACUUCCAGUGGUUCUGUCAAACUGAAGGUUCUUGAUGAUGAAAAGGAAGAUACCACUACUACUACCUCCUCCUCUUCCUCUUCCACCUCUGAGCGACGGCCUCGAGUGCCCCUCUUUUCGCCACAGCCAGCUAUUGACCAGAAGCUAGUAGAGGACUUCCUGAAUGGAGAUUACUGCCUUCAUGGGGGUAGCAGGUGGUGGAAGUAUGAGUUCUGCCAUGGCCGCAAGGUGGAGCAGUACCAUGAGGAGCAGGACGGCACCAGAACUUCAAUCCUCUUGGGUUACUUCAAUAUGGAGAACCACAAGAAGUGGAUUACACAGAAUCCAGAAAAGUCCUACAAGCCAGGCAAGAGGCAGGUGUCCCACUUCUACUCAGGUGGCACAACUUGUGAUGUCACCGGCACACCACGGCAGGUGGAGGUGAAGUUGAAGUGUAAGGAAUCCAACAGAAUGAACAUGUUACAGCCCAAGUUCCAUGGCAGUGUACCUGCAGGAGCCCCGCACCUGUGAGUAUGUGCUAGUAGUAGAGACGUCCAUUGUGUGUCCACUGUUGCAGCACGCCGACCAUCUGGGCUGGUUCAGUGCAGCACUCCCACCAGAUGCUGCUCAGAUCACAAAAGAAUUGUCUUCCUCAAGUAGUGGGUCAGUAAAGCACGAUUCACACAAAGGAACAGUUGAGUUGGCUCCCAUAGAUGAAGAUGAAGAAGAGGAUGAUGAUUAUGAUGAUGAAUAAGUGUUAUUGUACACAAGUGCCUUCUAUUGACCAAACUGAAGAACUUUUUUUUUUCCCAAAUUAUGAAUAUGUCCAAAAGAUGCAUGGUUUUAGUGGAGGAUUUGCUUGAAAAGGAAUUACUGACAAACAGCAGUUGGGACUUGGGGACCAUGAGUGACUUGCAACUGAUUUGUCAUGUUUUGAUUCCUGUGAUGUACUACAGGUUGAUAAAUUUGUGAUCACAGCCACAAAAGUACCAGGUAUAAACCUAUAUAUAUUGUGCUGGUAAUGCUCAAAUAUCUUUCUAUUAAUUUAAUUUAGGCUUGUUAAUAUUAGAUGAAUAAAUACACGUGCACUAGAAAGUAAAAAAAAAAAAAAAAUCUGUUUUCAGUAUUUAAAAUGACUGACUAGCCUCUUUAUAUUGCAUUCCAUUUUUAGCGUGGCAUGUAGUUUAAGGAUUUUUUUUUCCAAGCAUACAAAUGGAAAGUGGAUUAUAGAAUUUAUGGAACUGAAUACUGAGAGAAAUACGUAUGAACUGUCAAUAAUUAUUACACAGAUCCAAAGCAUAUUUAUAUUUUCAGCUUCACACCUAAUCUGAAUUUUUACAAGUACUGCUGCAGCACUGCACUGCUAGAUAUGAUAUUUGCUGAAUAUUUUUUUUUUUACAUAAUCAAUGAUUGUCAAGCCCUUUUCUUGUAUAUCAUUACCAAUAUAUUUUCCCUAGUUUGGAAACAAUUGAUGAAAAUGUUAUACAAAUCAGGUUACUUAGGUCCGAACAGAUUUUCAUACCAUUUCAUUCAUUACUGUUUAGUAGCUUGUAUUACUCAGGAUUCAGCCACUACUGCUGGUAGCCAAAUACUAAUACUACAGGCAACUAACUACCUUACAGUGCCAUUGAAUAAUACUAAUUAAUACAACCAAUAGUGUUGCUACUAUUAUUGUCAAUGAUAACGUGCAUCACAGUUAGCAAACGAGUGUGCUUCCCAGUUCAGUAGUGUACUGUUACAGGUCUGGCUGAGCUGUGGUAAUGUGAGGCACACCAGAUAUCACAAAGAGAGGGACUAGAAGGGACUUGACUGGGUAGUUCAGAUGAUAUGUUUAGUGAUAUUCACUUCUGAAAUGGUGAUCUAGUAAUGUUCUUCAUGCUGGUAAGCUAACGAGGUACUGAUGUGCAGUGUGGUGUUAGAUGACCUGUUGUAGACCACUCCUUAAAAUGUUUCAGAGGACUAGCAGCUUUCUUCAUAAUUCAUAAUGAAUGUCAGUGAAAUAUAAAUACUGUUGUUAUUCUGCUGUGAUCUGUGAUGACAGAAAAAUAAGAUUCAACAACUACAAAUAUAAUGAUGCUGUAGAUACAAACCAACAAAUAUUAUAUAUAUAGCACAUUUGUUGUUGAAGGGUUAGUGUGAUGUUAUUUAUAAAGUGAAUGAUAAAGUUUGCAUGAUAGGGACUGUACUGAUGCUGUGUGAUAACUACCUAUGAAUGAAGCCUAUCUGGUAUCACUGUGUAGAGUUUUGUAUUCCUGUACACAUUUUGGAAGUAAAAUGUAUAUUUAUAAUAAAUCUGUUUACAUAA